RNAcentral lists this ribosomal RNA (194 nucleotides) under uncultured bacterium. Its description in RNAcentral is "partial 16S ribosomal RNA". It matches the Rfam family "Bacterial small subunit ribosomal RNA", at positions 338 to 524 of the family's 1533-position model. The record is from RNAcentral.
CCUACGGGAGGCAGCAGUGAGGAAUAUUGGGCAAUGCCCGCAAGGGUGACCCAGCAACGCCGCGUGGAGGAUGAAGGCCGUAAGGUUGUAAAGCUCUUUCGGCAGGAAAGAAAUCGCCCGCUCUAACAUAGCGGGUGGAUGACGGUACCUGAAGAAGAAGCACCGGCUAACUACGUGCCAGCAGCCGCGGUAAU